This 968-nucleotide ribosomal RNA is filed under the name Arthrobacter glacialis. RNAcentral's name for it is "bacterial SSU rRNA". It matches the Rfam family "Bacterial small subunit ribosomal RNA", at positions 56 to 1021 of the family's 1533-position model. Lineage: Bacteria; Bacillati; Actinomycetota; Actinomycetes; Micrococcales; Micrococcaceae. The record is from RNAcentral.
UGCAAGUCGAACGAUGAACCCCAGCUUGCUGGGGGGAUUAGUGGCGAACGGGUGAGUAACACGUGAGUAACCUGCCCUUAACUCUGGGAUAAGCCUUGGAAACGAGGUCUAAUACUGGAUAUUGACUUUUCCCCGCAUGGGGUUUGGUUGAAAGAUUUAUUGGUUUUGGAUGGACUCGCGGCCUAUCAGCUUGUUGGUGAGGUAAUGGCUCACCAAGGCGACGACGGGUAGCCGGCCUGAGAGGGUGACCGGCCACACUGGGACUGAGACACGGCCCAGACUCCUACGGGAGGCAGCAGUGGGGAAUAUUGCACAAUGGGCGAAAGCCUGAUGCAGCGACGCCGCGUGAGGGAUGACGGCCUUCGGGUUGUAAACCUCUUUCAGUAGGGAACAAGGCCAGCAUUUUUGUUGGUUGAGGGUACUUGCAGAAGAAGCGCCGGCUAACUACGUGCCAGCAGCCGCGGUAAUACGUAGGGCGCAAGCGUUAUCCGGAAUUAUUGGGCGUAAAGAGCUCGUAGGCGGUUUGUCGCGUCUGCCGUGAAAGUCCGGGGCUCAACCCCGGAUCUGCGGUGGGUACGGGCAGACUAGAGUGAUGUAGGGGAGACUGGAAUUCCUGGUGUAGCGGUGAAAUGCGCAGAUAUCAGGAGGAACACCGAUGGCGAAGGCAGGUCUCUGGGCAUUAACUGACGCUGAGGAGCGAAAGCAUGGGGAGCGAACAGGAUUAGAUACCCUGGUAGUCCAUGCCGUAAACGUUGGGCACUAGGUGUGGGGGACAUUCCACGUUUUCCGCGCCGUAGCUAACGCAUUAAGUGCCCCGCCUGGGGAGUACGGCCGCAAGGCUAAAACUCAAAGGAAUUGACGGGGGCCCGCACAAGCGGCGGAGCAUGCGGAUUAAUUCGAUGCAACGCGAAGAACCUUACCAAGGCUUGACAUGAACCGGAAACACCUGGAAACAGGUGCCCCGCUUG